Molecule: long non-coding RNA, 789 nt
Organism: Herpailurus yagouaroundi (jaguarundi)
Lineage: Eukaryota; Metazoa; Chordata; Mammalia; Carnivora; Felidae
Exons: 3
Source: RefSeq, a predicted model, not a curated record
GCAGAGAUGUUUGGAGUAGUGGGCUUUUCGGGGAAAGUGAGAUUUAAAAACGACUUUAACGCUUUUAGUAAAAAGUUCUCCAGGAGAUGUAUGCUUCCCUGCUGUAGUACAGGGAAAAUGCAGCCAAUUAUGCCGUCACUGAUGGCCGACUCGUCCUAAGGAUACCUACCGCUGCCUGCGAUGAUGCUCUCACUCGUGAGCCCCCUGGACUGGAAGCUCCACGAGCCAAGAAGCGGUUCCCGUAACAUACUGCUGGUGCAUCUGACCCCAUUUUGGUGUCUGCUUCUGAGGAGACUCACCCUGACACAGAAGAGUUGGAGACAACCCUUUAUUUCUCCCUGUGGCCGUUCCCUCCUGGUUUUGAUUUAGGCCCUGUAACAGCUUGCAAGAUACUUCAAUCCGUCAUCGGACAAACGUUCCACUGCCCAGGCAGCGUCGAGUGGUGGGAAGAGCACGGACUCGGGAGCCAGACAGAUCUGGGGUGGAGCGCUGACUCCCACACCAGGGCCUUCUCAGAUAAGUUCAUGUGAUCUUUUGGAGCCUCAGUUUCUGCAUGUGUGUGAUACGGAGAGCCUAUGUUACAGGUUGCUUUGAGGAUUCGAAAUGAUAGAAGUGAAGCACCUAGCCAGUGCCCAGCACAUCGUAGGUGCUCCCUAAUUGGUAGAGUGUAAUAGAAGGGUGGGAAUGCUUGUCCUUAUGACCCUUAAGGAGGCAGUGUAGAGGGGGACACAAUGUAUGUGGCGGUGAGGAGACAAUGAGCUGCUAAGAUGAGGGAGAAACAAAUGUGAU